GAGGUCAAAGAGGCUAUAUGGUGUGACUUUGGUUGAAUUUGGAAGGGUUAGGGUUUUGGCAUGAUUUUUAGAUUUAAUAUUCGAGGAGAUGGGCGAAGAUUUGAGGGACGAGGUUUGAGGUUUUGAAAGAGGAGAGUAGGGUGGUUUAGGGAAGUUGAUUUGGGGAGGUUUGGAGGUGGCACGACGGCGGCGAUGACCACUGAUUUGAAUAUUCGAGGGGAUGGGUGAGGCUUUUGGGAAUGAGGUUCGUAGAUUUGGAGAGAUGAGAGGAAGACGGUUUGGGGGUGUAUUUUUGAAAGGCAUUGGAGAGUCACCACCGGCGGAAGCGAUUUCCGGCCGGCGGAAGAUGGCGACGUUAGGGUUAUUGUAUUAGGGGUG
RNAcentral lists this long non-coding RNA (378 nucleotides) under Nicotiana benthamiana. Its description in RNAcentral is "long non-coding RNA (NBEN_LNC036812)". The record is from RNAcentral. Lineage: Eukaryota; Viridiplantae; Streptophyta; Magnoliopsida; Solanales; Solanaceae.